AGCUUGCUGGGUGGAUUAGUGGCGAACGGGUGAGUAACACGUGAGUAACCUGCCCUUAACUCUGGGAUAAGCCUGGGAAACUGGGUCUAAUACCGGAUAGGAGCGCCUACCGCAUGGUGGGUGUUGGAAAGAUUUAUCGGUUUUGGAUGGACUCGCGGCCUAUCAGCUUGUUGGUGAGGUAAUGGCUCACCAAGGCGACGACGGGUAGCCGGCCUGAGAGGGUGACCGGCCACACUGGGACUGAGACACGGCCCAGACUCCUACGGGAGGCAGCAGUGGGGAAUAUUGCACAAUGGGCGCAAGCCUGAUGCAGCGACGCCGCGUGAGGGAUGACGGCCUUCGGGUUGUAAACCUCUUUCAGUAGGGAAGAAGCGAAAGUGACGGUACCUGCAGAAGAAGCACCGGCUAACUACGUGCCAGCAGCCGCGGUAAUACGUAGGGUGCGAGCGUUAUCCGGAAUUAUUGGGCGUAAAGAGCUCGUAGGCGGUUUGUCGCGUCUGUCGUGAAAGUCCGGGGCUUAACCCCGGAUCUGCGGUGGGUACGGGCAGACUAGAGUGCAGUAGGGGAGACUGGAAUUCCUGGUGUAGCGGUGGAAUGCGCAGAUAUCAGGAGGAACACCGAUGGCGAAGGCAGGUCUCUGGGCUGUAACUGACGCUGAGGAGCGAAAGCAUGGGGAGCGAACAGGAUUAGAUACCCUGGUAGUCCAUGCCGUAAACGUUGGGCACUAGGUGUGGGGACCAUUCCACGGUU
Molecule: ribosomal RNA, 750 nt
Filed under: bacterium QAM21
Lineage: Bacteria
Description: bacterial SSU rRNA
Rfam family: Bacterial small subunit ribosomal RNA
Source: RNAcentral